This 884-nucleotide long non-coding RNA is filed under the name Volvox carteri. RNAcentral's name for it is "long non-coding RNA (VCAR_LNC000190)". Lineage: Eukaryota; Viridiplantae; Chlorophyta; Chlorophyceae; Chlamydomonadales; Volvocaceae. The record is from RNAcentral.
AUACGUAGGGCAAGGCUGCGGGUUGCACACCGCCACGAGCUCCGGGAGCGCCGCCAGUGGGCAGUCGUCCAGACCGACUCCCCACGGUCCGCGGUUGGCCGCACGCUGACAGACGACGGGACGAAGGGUUAUCCCGCCGCCGCACGCGGCGCUGCAGGCGGACCAAUUUCCUACCUGUCAAUCGUGAUGUAGCCGGCGGCCAGUAGCCGUUCAGGCGUGGAUGCAGGAAGGUAAGGACGAGCAAGUGAGGACGGGUAAGCAAGUUUCGUGUGGCUUCUGCAUGAAGAAUGGAACAACCGCGGAAAGGGACAGGCAGCAAGUACACAUACACACACAUGCACACACAGGGCCGCCGCACCGCAGCCCGGCCACAGCCCACCCUCUUUCCCCCCGCUCCACCUGCAGCCGAUAUCUUGUUCUUGGAGGACUGGACCCCGGAGGGAAGGGCCCCGUCAUGGCGGCAUCCAUCGCCAGGAGGUCCCAGCCAGAGCGCUGCGCCGCCGCCACCGGCAGCGCCACAGCGCCUGGAGGAGCCCGCCCCAGGACUGCAGCCGCCGCAGCCGCCGCGGAUGCGGAUGUGCUGUUGCUCGUUGCGCGGUCGGCAGCGGCAGCAGGAGAAACCGAUGACAGCCGCAAGGCCAUCGCUGCUGAUGCGGUGGCUGCGGCUGUAGUGUUCCGCAGGCCGAAUCGCACGGCGCAGUUCUGCUGCUGCUGCUGCCGUUGGCCCCCUCCCAGGCAGGUGGCCUCGGCGGCCAGGUCAGCUCGCGGCAGGGCGUAGUUGUACACUCGCGCGGACAGCAGGGUGCCGUACAGACCUGAGGAUCCCCCCAGGAGGCUGGAUGGAAGGUGGAGGGGCCCGCCAGGACGCCGUGCGUGCGUGCGUG